AUCGCUUCUCGGCCUUUUGGCUAAGAUCAAGUGUAGUAUCUGUUCUUAUCAGUUUAAAAUCACCCACUCCAGGCCUUAAAAAUCUUUAACUAACCUCUGCUCAUUUUCCCCUCUUGAGACAUUUCAUUAAGACUCAGUCACCACCCUUA
This 149-nucleotide small nuclear RNA is filed under the name Moschus moschiferus (Siberian musk deer). RNAcentral describes it as "U2 spliceosomal RNA (ENSMMSG00000010332.1)". It matches the Rfam family "U2 spliceosomal RNA". Rfam says of the family: U2 is a small nuclear RNA (snRNA) component of the spliceosome (involved in pre-mRNA splicing). Lineage: Eukaryota; Metazoa; Chordata; Mammalia; Artiodactyla; Moschidae. The record is from Rfam by way of RNAcentral.